GACGAAGAGAGAGCAGUAGGAGUAGCAGUGUUGUCUGUGGUGAUCCAUGUUUCCGUCAGUGCCAAGAAGUCGAGGGACUGGAGGGAGGCAUAGGCUGAGAUGAACUCUGCCUUGUUGGCCGCAGAUCGGCAGUUCCAGAGGCUACCGGAGACCUGGAACUCCACGUGGGUCGUGCGCGCUGGGACCACCAGAUUAGGGUGGCCGCGGCCACGCGGUGUGGAGCAUUUGUAUGGUCUGUGCAGAGAGGAGAGAACAGGGAUAGACAGACACAUAGUUGACAGGCUACACAAGAGGCUACGCUAAUGCAAAGGAGAUUGGAAUGACAAGUGGACUACACGUCUCGAGUGUUCAGUAAGGACUACAAAUAGCUGGCUAGCUAACCUCGGUAAAUUAAGAUAAUCACUCUAAAACUACACACUCUAAACUACACAAUUAUCUUGGAUACGAAGACAGCAAAGACAACUAUGUAGCUAGCUAACACUACACUAAUCAAGACGUUCAGUUGAGUGUAAUAGUUGUGCUGCUAAUCGGUAGACGGUGGACUAGCUAACGGUGGACGUUAGCUAGCUGGCUAGCUGCAGGGCAGUGUAGACUGCGUUAGGACGACGAAAUACGAUAAUUACGCAAUUAUCUAUGAUACAAAGACGGCUAUGUAGCUAGCUAAGAAGAAAUUGCUAAGAUUAGACAAAUCUUCUGAGUUUGGCUGGUGUAGGCACUCAUUGUAAAUAAUAAUUUGUUGUUAAAUGACUUGCCUAGAAUAAUAAUGGUUAAAUAAAUAAAAAUAUAUAUGACCAUGGUUUGUUUUCAUUUGGCCUUUUUAGCAUAGCUCUGUUCUGCCCUGCCUUGCCCCCUUGUGGAGCUCAAAAGUUACUGUUUCUUACUGUUAUAACUCAAACUUGUGAUUUUGUCAAUGCAAUAUACUACUCUUUAUAGCAGUGUUUAUUAUGUUACUUCUUUGUAGUAUUGUUUUAUUGCUAUAUCCUUAUAUUGUAUUCUAGUGAAUAAUUCCUCUUUAUUCUGUACUUUCAGAAACCACAAACAGUACUGGCCAAUAUCAGAACUGGAACUGGAGCUGGACACCUUUGGAGCUGAAGAUUGAGGACAGCUUUGUCUGCUAGUGUACACUCCUUAACAGUCUACCUGGAUGGAAACAUAGCAAUAAAACACACAGACCAAUAUGUAAUAGCCAUCUCUUUUAUUGCAGGAUUGGUGGAGGUUGGUUCAAUAACAACAACAAAAACAUGUUUUACUUGAGGAAAAAAAAAUAUAUUUUAUGUUCAAGGAAAGACUGAACUACAACUGCAUUUCCACCCCCACCUCUAAAGGCAUAGUAUCAUGGCUGGUCACCUGUCAAGUCACCUAUCAGACAGGCAGACUUUGCAGUGCCUCCGUGUGUGACUACCUUGAGCAGCAGUUUGGGGGACUUUGAAGGGAAAAUGCUAUGCAGUGAAGCGUAGGGGAUUGUCUGCAGCAGGACGACUCCCAGUGGAUGGGCGCCGAGGGGUGUGGUGCUCUUCCAGCAGCUCUCUCAUGAGGUUCUCUCUGUACUUUUGGUGGUCCACCUUCCCUGUGGCCGACAUGGUUGCUGUAUGGACAGUGGAGAGGAUAUGGACGUCUCGCUUGUCAUGCCACUUUACUGCCAGCUGUUGACCGUUCUCCUUGAACUCCACCUCCCCUCUCUGCAUCUUCCUGCAUCCGAAUGCCGGCAUCCCCUUCCUGUUCGACCUGACUGUGCAACAGGCCCCUGUGCUGUUGGAGAGCAGAUGCUGGAAGUGUGUGGGGCUGCUGUACCAAUUGUCCACAUACAAAGUGUGUGACAUCGCAGCAGAACUAGGAAGCGGUCUUGGGAAAAGAGGGUGGCAAAGAAGGGAGAUGCAAAAAUAGGAUCUGUGCUCCAGUAUUCUCUUAGAGAGUUAUGCUUUACUAUCUCCAUGAGAACGACUGUCACCAGGAAGGUAUACAUUUCACUAAUUGUAGUUAUCACCCAUUUAGCAAGACCCCCCCCCCCCCCCCCCCCCCCCCCCCCGAUUGGUCUCUACUAUGUCUCCUACCAGCUCCUCUGUCAGAAACAACUUGAGGCACUUUGCCUCAGAUGGAAAUGGCAAGGGGCGUUGCACUCCAGACUGGGACUCAUCAAAGCAAACAGCAGGGCCAGGAGGGGUGAAAUGGCUGUCAGACUUCCAGCUACCACAGAACUCCUGUACUUCAUCCACUGUCUGUCUGCCUCCAUCACCACCAGCAUCUUCAAAGGGAACUGGGACUUCAUCAGUGGACAAGGGGUCCUCAGAUUCAGGGUUCUCAAUGGCUACAAGGUUGGGGGGGCAUCUUGUCACUGUCACUGUCAGAAUCUGCUUUCUGACUUUCAUACUCAAACUUAUGAACUUAACUUGUCAGAAUUUUAAAAAAUCUCCAGAAUUUGUGAGUUGUCUCCUUUUAAAAGACAUUGCUAAUGUUACAGCUUAGCUUACUAGCUACAUACAUAAACAACAGUGAAAGGUUACGUGAUUGACUGCCGGCACGCGCCACUUGUAUCAAUAAAUCACU
Molecule: long non-coding RNA, 2544 nt
Organism: Oncorhynchus nerka (sockeye salmon)
Lineage: Eukaryota; Metazoa; Chordata; Actinopteri; Salmoniformes; Salmonidae
Exons: 3
Source: RefSeq, a predicted model, not a curated record